CAAAGGGGCUGGAAACAAACCCACUUUGUGUUCACCAAAAACAAGACGCCGCUGUUGUUGCGCUGUGGGCUGUGAUGUCAUCGUCAUGGUUCAUCCUCUCCGUGACCUCGGGUACAAUGAUCCUCGAAUAGCAACAUCAGAAGUGGAAGCAGAUCGCCUGCAGAUCGCUGUGACCGGCGGCACUGACCACAAGAUACUCCAGAGUUGCCUGGCAGUAUGGAAACAACGGGGCACCCCCGCUUUUCUCAUCGCUAAGCCGCUGUCUGCUGUCCGGUGGCCCCGGAUAAACGUGUUACGCCAUGGAAGACUCUGCCAACAACACCCGUCAGCCCCACACCUCCACCUACCGAACUCUGUGUUUCCCAGACGACAAAGUGUCAGCUCACAUCCUAAUGACAUGAUUUCGCCUCACAGUUGUAAAAUUGCAUAACGUCUCCCUUCCGUAGUCGAUAGGAGUUCAUCCAGAGUUUUAUUUCUGCACAAGUUGGUUUUAUCAAAUAUUAUGAAGCCGAACACUAGGCAAGUACUCUGCUGCAGGUGCCGAGGGCAAGAAACUUGAUUUUUGCUUAGUGAAAUAAGCAAACCCCCCAACAACACAGCGUUAAUUAUUCACCCUCACUGGACCAGUGGGACAUUCUGAUAUGACUGGAGGUGGUUACAGGGUCUAAGGUUGCAGAGUAGACAUGACAGAGGUUGAAAUGUUUGCUGCCAAGAAAUAUGGGCCCAUCUGAUGUGAAAGCUGCCCACAGGGCGUCAGAAUGAAUGGUAAUAAUCUAUCAGGAGGGAAUGCAGCCGGAAUUAUGAACCACCCCCCCAGAAGGAAUGAAAGACAAGGAAAUGACCCCUUUUUAUUAUUUUGUCAUUUGCACUGUUGAUCCUUUUGCUUUCCCACUUAGAAAAAAGACUGAUGGUUGGCUUAAGCUGAAACUUGUUCGUGUUAAUAUUGCACUUAUUCAACCAUGAGAUAAAGACUCAUACACAAAAGAAAGGUGUGGGCCCGUCCUGUUGAUCACAGGUAAAACGAAUGUCUCUCUGCCAAAACAAGCAGCCAUGAGCACCAGAGGGCGGGGCUUGGAAAGCUGCACGGUGACUGAGCACACUUUGUGGAAUUGGAGCUGGGCGGGUGGUUUUGGGCCAACCCAACACAGUCAUCUUUGUUUUGUUGGUGCACAACAUAAAAAUGCCAUUGUGUGUGCUGCGCGCAUUAUCGUUGCGGCCGUUGCGUAACAUCCGAAUACGAUCUGGUGCAACAGCUGCUCUGACACAGUUUGUGGAGG
This is a long non-coding RNA of Gasterosteus aculeatus aculeatus (three-spined stickleback), 1277 nucleotides long. Lineage: Eukaryota; Metazoa; Chordata; Actinopteri; Perciformes; Gasterosteidae. The record is from Ensembl.